This 449-nucleotide ribosomal RNA is filed under the name uncultured bacterium. RNAcentral's name for it is "bacterial SSU rRNA". It matches the Rfam family "Bacterial small subunit ribosomal RNA", at positions 355 to 796 of the family's 1533-position model. The record is from RNAcentral.
UGGGGAAUAUUGGACAAUGGGGGGAACCCUGAUCCAGCGAUGCCGCGUGAGUGAAGAAGGCCUUAGGGUCGUAAAGCUCUUUAGGUUGGGAAGAAAGGUUAGUGUUUAAGAGAUGCUAGCUGUGACGGUACCGACAGAAUAAGCACCGGCAAACUCUGUGCCAGCAGCCGCGGUAAUACAGAGGGUGCGAGCGUUAAUCGGAAUUACUGGGCGUAAAGGGCGCGUAGGCGGUUAUAUGAGUGUGAUGUGAAAGCCCCGGGCUUAACCUGGGAAGUGCAUCGCAAACGAUAUGACUGGAGUAGAUGAGAGGGUGGCGGAAUUUCCGGUGUAGCGGUGAAAUGCGUAGAGAUCGGAAGGAACGUCGAUGGCGAAGGCAGCCACCUGGCAUCAUACUGACGCUGAGGCGCGAAAGCGUGGGUAGCGAACAGGAUUAGAUACCCCUGUAGUCC